GCCGUCGCGAGGCGAAAUGUGAAGGAAUCCGGAGGCAAACCCUUGGUCUGACGAACAGAAAUCACAUUAUAUGUUAAGGUUUACUGUUCCUGAUCUGAUACCAUCAAUCCGUUUGGAAAAAGUUGAGGCAGGCUACCGCC
RNAcentral lists this non-coding RNA (140 nucleotides) under Fontibacillus panacisegetis. Lineage: Bacteria; Bacillati; Bacillota; Bacilli; Caryophanales; Paenibacillaceae. The record is from RNAcentral.